AUUGAACGCUGGCGGCAGGCCUAACACAUGCAAGUCGAGCGGAUGAAGGGAGCUUGCUCCUGGAUUCAGCGGCGGACGGGUGGGUAAUGCCUAGGAAUCGGCCUGGUAGUGGGGGAUAACGUCCGGAAACGGGCGCUAAUACCGCAUACGUCCUGAGGGAGAAAGUGGGGGAUCUUCGGACCUCACGCUAUCAGAUGAGCCUAGGUCGGAUUAGCUAGUUGGUGGGGUAAAGGCCUACCAAGGCGACGAUCCGUAACUGGUCUGAGAGGAUGAUCAGUCACACUGGAACUGAGACACGGUCCAGACUCCUACGGGAGGCAGCAGUGGGGAAUAUUGGACAAUGGGCGAAAGCCUGAUCCAGCCAUGCCGCGUGUGUGAAGAAGGUCUUCGGAUUGUAAAGCACUUUAAGUUGGGAGGAAGGGCAGUAAGUUAAUACCUUGCUGUUUUGACGUUACCAACAGAAUAAGCACCGGCUAACUUCGUG
This 484-nucleotide ribosomal RNA is filed under the name uncultured bacterium. RNAcentral describes it as "partial 16S ribosomal RNA". It matches the Rfam family "Bacterial small subunit ribosomal RNA", at positions 30 to 507 of the family's 1533-position model. The record is from RNAcentral.